This 415-nucleotide long non-coding RNA is filed under the name Linum usitatissimum (flax). RNAcentral's name for it is "long non-coding RNA (LUSI_LNC007050)". Lineage: Eukaryota; Viridiplantae; Streptophyta; Magnoliopsida; Malpighiales; Linaceae. The record is from RNAcentral.
UGAUAUCAGAUGAAGCUGUAGAAGAACAAAUCUAAUCGUAGAUCUACAAGAAGUUUCGGCUCGCAAGAUUUGAACAGAAAGCUAAAUGCAGAAAGUAAAAAGAUACAGGGAUUUGUUGACGCUGUUUGGAGAAAACUCCUACUCAGGGGAGCCUCAAAGAGGGAAGACUCAACCCGAAUCCACUAUCAGCAGAGAGCACUCAAUUUCAGAUUACAAAACAGGAAGAAAAACCCAAGACCUAACCCUAGAACAACCAAAGAACUCAAACAAUCUAACAACAAUACAUAGAAGAUACUCAAAGGGAUUCAACCCCCUUCAGGCUGAGGAACUUCUCCCCUGAAAGUUCCCUGAGUAGUGAUCGGAGCACAAACCAGUGGCGGAGAUCUUCAGAUCGCCAUCAAAUGCUUCGUCUUCU